Molecule: transfer RNA, 68 nt
Filed under: Versteria mustelae
Lineage: Eukaryota; Metazoa; Platyhelminthes; Cestoda; Cyclophyllidea; Taeniidae
Description: tRNA-Phe
Source: RNAcentral
UUUCUCUUAGCUUAAUAAUAUAAAGCAUCAAUUUGAAGAGUUGAGGAUAAUCUUCUAGUUAGAGAGAC